AGCAAGGUUAACCGAAUAGGGGAGCCGGAGGGAAACCGAGUCUUAACCGGGCGUUAAGUUGCAGGGUAUAGACCCGAAACCCGGUGAUCUAGCCAUGGGCAGGUUGAAGGUUGGGUAACACUAACUGGAGGACCGAACCGACUAAUGUUGAAAAAUUAGCGGAUGACCUGUGGCUGGGGGUGAAAGGCCAAUCAAACCGGGAGAUAGCUGGUUCUCCCCGAAAGCUAUUUAGGUAGCGCCUCGUGAAUUCAUCUCCGGGGGUAGAGCACUGUUUCGGCUAGGGGGCCAUCCCGGCUUACCAACCCGAUGCAAACUGCGAAUACCGGAGAAUGUUAUCACGGGAGACACACGGCGGGUGCUAACGUCCGUCGUGAAGAGGGAAACAACCCAGACCGCCAGCUAAGGUCCCAAAGUCAUGGUUAAGUGGGAAACGAUGUGGGAAGGCCCAGACAGCCAGGAUGUUGGCUUAGAAGCAGCCAUCAUUUAAAGAAAGCGUAAUAGCUCACUGGUCGAGUCGGCCUGCGCGGAAGAUGUAACGGGGCUAAACCAUGCACCGAAGCUGCGGCAGCGACACUGUGUGUUGUUGGGUA
RNAcentral lists this ribosomal RNA (590 nucleotides) under Salmonella enterica. Its description in RNAcentral is "partial 23S ribosomal RNA". It matches the Rfam family "Bacterial large subunit ribosomal RNA", at positions 639 to 1230 of the family's 2925-position model. Lineage: Bacteria; Pseudomonadati; Pseudomonadota; Gammaproteobacteria; Enterobacterales; Enterobacteriaceae. The record is from RNAcentral.